ACGGAGGGUGCAAGCGUUAUUCGGAAUCACUAGGUGUAAAGGGCGCGUAGGCGGUUUGAUAAGUCAGAUGUGAAAUCUCAUAGCUCAACUGUGAGCUUGCAUCUAAAACUGUCAGGCUUGAGUAUGGUAGGGGAAAACGGAAUUUCUAGUGUAGCGGUGAAAUGUGUAGAUACUAGCAGGAACAGCGAUGGCGAAGGCGGUUUUCUGGUCUAAUACUGACGCUAAGGCGCGAAAGCUAGGGGAGCAAACAG
This 251-nucleotide ribosomal RNA is filed under the name uncultured prokaryote. RNAcentral describes it as "partial 16S rRNA". It matches the Rfam family "Bacterial small subunit ribosomal RNA", at positions 525 to 775 of the family's 1533-position model. The record is from RNAcentral.